UGCCACUGACCUGGUCAGCACUGGGCCACGGC
RNAcentral lists this non-coding RNA (32 nucleotides) under Rattus norvegicus (Norway rat). Lineage: Eukaryota; Metazoa; Chordata; Mammalia; Rodentia; Muridae. The record is from RNAcentral.